GAUCACUCUCAUUCAGACAUAGGCCAUGGGAGCAAGGGAUGAAGAAUCGUCUGUAUCAGUGCACUGAGGUGAGUCGUCCCCUGCAGCUGCUUCUCUGGUCCAUCAGGAUGUUGUGAAGAGGAUGGUCAGUGUAUUCCAGGACGGCCUCUACCUACCUGGAGUAUCUCUCCACCACAGCCUCCAGUGUCCCUGGUCCUGGAGCUGUAUAUUGCUGAUGUGCAGUUACUGGCCCCAUCAACCUGCAGUGUCUAUGUGUUGUUUAUUGUUACUGUUCAUUUUUCUCUCAUCUAUCC
Molecule: long non-coding RNA, 293 nt
Filed under: Mastacembelus armatus (zig-zag eel)
Lineage: Eukaryota; Metazoa; Chordata; Actinopteri; Synbranchiformes; Mastacembelidae
Description: lncRNA (ENSMAMG00000025928.1)
Source: RNAcentral